RNAcentral lists this long non-coding RNA (388 nucleotides) under Solanum tuberosum (potato). RNAcentral describes it as "long non-coding RNA (STUB_LNC011676)". Lineage: Eukaryota; Viridiplantae; Streptophyta; Magnoliopsida; Solanales; Solanaceae. The record is from RNAcentral.
CGGUUUUUUUAUUUUUCUUGGAUUUUGAGGUAGAUAAAUUAGUGAACGAAUUAACUAUGGUUGUUUUACCCUUUUCAAUAAUGUUUUUUCCGAAAUCCAUAUUCAAAUAUAAAAAGUGAGUAAAUUAUAUAUAAUACGAAAAUGAUUAGCAAAGUUUUAAACAAAUAAAUAACUAAAUAAGUAGAGACUAGAGAUUAAUUACUCACAAAAUAAAUAAUUAAAUGCAAACAAAUAAAUAACUAAAUGAAAAGUGAGUUGGAACGAAUGUACCAAACGUCUACUUAAAAAAGUAGACGUGUAUGACCGGAAGGCGAAAAUUGAAAGUUGAAUUUUGAAGCUCCAAUUUCCAAAGAUCAAAUUCGUAAUUUUAACGAGAAUAAGAGAAUUU